UGGAUAUCUGAUGACUGUUGGUGCUGUAUGAGUAGUGGAUGCUGACUGCAGGUCUGGGAGUCUGAAAAGUAU
This is a small nucleolar RNA of Meriones unguiculatus (Mongolian gerbil), 72 nucleotides long. RefSeq annotates it as small nucleolar RNA SNORD113/SNORD114 family. The record is from RefSeq and is a predicted model, not a curated record. Lineage: Eukaryota; Metazoa; Chordata; Mammalia; Rodentia; Muridae. The transcript has a single exon.